UGAAGGCCAGGCUGAAGACUUUGCCGGAUUAGCUGAGAGGUGGUGCAUGGCCGUCGUCAGUUCGUACUGUGAAGCAUCCUGUUAAGUCAGGCAACGAGCGAGACCCACGCCCACAGUUGCCAGCGUACUCGUCUGGAGUGACGGGUACACUGUGGGACCGCCGCUGCUAAAGCGGAGGAAGGAAUGGGCAACGGUAGGUCAGUAUGCCCCGAAUAUCCCGGGCUACACGCGAGCUACAAUGGUUGGUACAAUGGGUAUCUACCCCGAAAGGGGACGGGAAUCUCCUAAAACCAAUCUUAGUUCGGAUUGAGGGCUGCAACUCGCCCUCAUGAAGCUGGAAUCCGUAGUAAUCGCGUUUCAACAGAACGCGGUGAAUACGUCCCUGCUCCUU
This 391-nucleotide ribosomal RNA is filed under the name uncultured Methanosaeta sp. Its description in RNAcentral is "bacterial SSU rRNA". It matches the Rfam family "Archaeal small subunit ribosomal RNA", at positions 948 to 1338 of the family's 1478-position model. Lineage: Archaea; Methanobacteriati; Methanobacteriota; Methanomicrobia; Methanotrichales; Methanotrichaceae. The record is from RNAcentral.